RNAcentral lists this ribosomal RNA (497 nucleotides) under uncultured bacterium. RNAcentral describes it as "partial 16S ribosomal RNA". It matches the Rfam family "Bacterial small subunit ribosomal RNA", at positions 28 to 507 of the family's 1533-position model. The record is from RNAcentral.
GAUGAACGCUGGCGGCGUGCCUAAUACAUGCAAGUCGAGCGAACAGACGAGGAGCUUGCUCCUCUGACGUUAGCGGCGGACGGGUGAGUAACACGUGGAUAACCUACCUAUAAGACUGGGAUAACUUCGGGAAACCGGAGCUAAUACCGGAUAAUAUAUUGAACCGCAUGGUUCAAUAGUGAAAGACGGUUUUGCUGUCACUUAUAGAUGGAUCCGCGCCGCAUUAGCUAGUUGGUAAGGUAACGGCUUACCAAGGCAACGAUGCGUAGCCGACCUGAGAGGGGUAUCGGCCACCCUGGACCUCAGACACGGUCCCGACUCCUACGGGAGGCAGCAGUAGGGCAUCUUCCGCAAUGGGCGAAGGCCUGACGGAGCAACGCCGCGUGAGUGAUGAAGGUCUUCGGAUCGUAAAACUCUGUUAUUGGUGAAGAACAAAUGUGUAAGUAACUAUGCACGUCUUGACGGUACCUAAUCAGAAAGCCACGGCUAACUACGUG